Long non-coding RNA from Pomacea canaliculata, 4508 nucleotides. RefSeq lists it as uncharacterized. The record is from RefSeq and is a predicted model, not a curated record. Lineage: Eukaryota; Metazoa; Mollusca; Gastropoda; Architaenioglossa; Ampullariidae. The transcript is spliced from 5 exons.
GCCUUUGUAAAUAUACAUCUUUUGCAAACAUACAGCUGUGUCCAUCCCCAGGCUUAGUUUCCUCAUACACAAUCUACUCAGUCCUAUGCUGUUGUUUUAUUUUUUUGUCUUCCAUUUCAAUACUUAGCAGUUUUCUGAUGGCGCAAUGGAAAGGUAUUUUAAAUUAAUUCUUCAAACUCACAAGCAUUAGUCUCAUGUGUGUUUCCAACUAUUGUCACCCAUCUGGACUAGCUUCAGAGUUAAAGUCACACACAUGACCACAACAACUUGGACCUUUGAGAUCACCCUAUUUGUCAGAGGCAGCAUCCUGCACAGAAUCACUAACUUCUGAUUUGGCACUUGUCUACUUCUCGGUCUGGUAGCUCAUCCCAUUUGUGACCUAGACUGAUCUCUUCAGGCUUCCUUUCUCUCUAGCACUCCCAUGAAACACUCCUUCAAUGGCUCAACCUUUUGGAAUUUUCUGUGACCACUUAAUCCCUCCUUCAUCUAAUCCAGUGCACUCAAAAGAAAUUUUGUUGUACCUACUAUAAUAUUCAGUGAAAUGUUUUUGUCAAUCAUUACAGUACAACUGUUUAUUUCUUCAAAAGCUUGAGCAAGUACGUGCAUAUUUUUUCUGUGCUGGCCUAUUGCAUGACUUGUUUUGUUUAUUGGAGUUCAAUGCCAAGUGUGUCCUACAAGACUAAUCAUGAUGCACCAUUAACUGCUUUACUGGUAUGCACCACCAUGGGACACAAUUAACAUUGUCAAUGCUAUUGAUGUUUAAGGAUUUAAUGACAGAACCUAUGGUACUUGCUAACUGUGGUUCCUCUAUUUAUCAUGUAUGAGAAUCCAGCACUGACUGGAGUUAAUUUUGCUAGAUAUUUCCAAGUUAUGUCAAUAGAUGUGACCUUUCCAUGCUAUUUAGCACAAGUUCUCAAACUGCUGUAAAAAAACUUUUUUUUCUGUCAUUCUUUUGUAUGAAUCGCUAUUGCCAGCAAAAUGAAAAAGCAGCCUGCUAAAAAAACGUUUGAGAAAAGGGAAGGGAAAAGAUUCCUCCUCUCUGAAAUUGUCUGAGUGUGUGUGUUGUCUUUAACAACAUUAGUCAUGGAAUGCGUCAGUUCAGAUGCUGAUAACCCUCAUGAAUAAAAUCUGUAAUUAAAGAACUAUAAUCGCUGUUCUUUAAACCAGAAACAUUUUAUUCUACUUCUUCUGUGAACAUGUGUUCAUUACAAACUAACAUCAGAGGUUAGCUAAACAUAGAAAAGAACAGCUAUUAAGAGACCACGCCUCACAGUUUGGAAAGAGUUAUCUGACAUACUAUGGCUGCAGUUUACAUAUUUUCUGCAUCAUUCAGGAUGGAGUCUUUUGAACAGAAAGAAUAGAAAUGAAAAAAAAGACACAAAAAACUAAACAAAUAUUAGCAAGUCAGUUUUACAAAACAGUUAAAAGCUGCAACUACAGAGAGUAACAGCAAGAAAACAUAGAACUAGACUCAGAUUCCAGGACUGGAAAGAAAGCUGCCCAAAGAGGCCUUCUGCCAAGGCCGAGGCUGAGUGAUAUUUACAGCAGGCAGCGAGUGCAAGAUAGCAGCAUUUGCAUCUGUCCCACCAGCCGCUUCUUCACUCUCCUUUCUCCUCUCUAAAGCAAGGAAGAUUAGACCAAAGUGUGUGCAUGUGUGCACAUCACACAUGCAGGAUGACUCACAAGAAGGGCAUUUCUUACUCACUUCCACAUACAGCCCCUCUUAGCACUAUAGUAUAAGCAUCAUAUGCUGAUUAUAUAUGGAAGCUCCUGGCUAAGCCCAUCAAAUUCACUCUUAACAGAUGCUGCCUAAAUACCUGGUACAUUAGUGUCUAAGUGUUCAAGAGAGAGUCACCAUAUGAUGAGAUCUUUGAUACGCUAUUUUUCCUUAAUAAUCCCAAACCAAAACAAGAACUCAAGAACGUUUCACUAGUGAGUGAAUGUGUACAUGCAGCACAUCAUACUAAAAACAAUCAACAACUAAGUUUAAAACUACAAUAAUUACUGUAUUUAAUCUCAUUAAACAUGACAAUAACAAUAGGACUAGUGUUUUUCAGUCAAAUCUGCAUUUCAAAUGCUGAUAGUAAUACUGUAAAAUAAUGACAACUAAUGUAACUUUAGGAAUCUGCCAAUAAAUUGCUUUUGAUUUUUAAGCUUUUAAUAUGAUCUAUAGGUACUACUUAACAACUCAACAAUGGGCAUGGCCCAUUUUAAAAUUUUGAUUUAAUAAGGCAUAGAAAGGGAAAUAGAAAUUCUAAUUUUCUCAAAACCCCCAAACACAAAACGUGGAGUUUAGGUUAUAGUGUCACUUGCAAGCUAUGUGUGGAGUGCUACUUUCUCAAAUGUCUGUCAAAACACAAGCCUGCUCACAGACACGAUAGGCUUAUUCAUGCAACAAAAUCCUCCAUUUUUUUUUUUAACACUGCAGUUAACACUAUUCUUGCAGUUUCAGUGUAUUUAUCCAGGUUCCUGCACAAGGAACUUCCUCUGCCACAGUGAACAAAGCAUGCAGGAAAUUUCCACUUGUCUUCCUUCAUGUCAUUUGGUGACUCACAAGCGGAACCACCAGAAAUGGUUUUCCUUUUGAACUGAACAUUAGCGGUUAAUCAUAGGUAUUCCUCACUGGUUUAUCAACAUGUGGAAGACUCGUUGCAGUCUCAGCGUGUCAGCAGCAUGUGGGAAAACGCAAAGCCAAGGGGUUCAAGAAAGAUGAAUGUGUUAUGUGGCUCUCUUCCGCGCUCUGUAGGGUGACGUCAUGGCGCCAGCUGGCAGACAUCAGCGGCGCGCGAGGCUGUGGAGAGGAUGGGGCGUUGAGGUGUUUUAUGAAGAGUUUGCAGGAGCGUGUCUCUGUAUGUGUGCAAGCGUGGUCUCGGGCGUGCCGUAUAAUCAGGAGUCAGACAACACUACAUUAAAGAGCUUUCCAACUUAAUCUUUGUGAUAAGGUCAGUGUUGACAUGUGUCGAGUAGAUAAAAGUUUUGACUUCGCGUCACAUUGACCUAGUUCGCAUGCGCUCUAAACCAUAUAUAUAUAUAGACAACAGCAUGCUGAGGGCAAUAAUAUCUAUUAGUCUCUCACAGGCGGGCCGGCUUAGCCUUGAAAGUGUCAGUGGAAGGCCAAAGCAUGUUCAGCGAAACAAUGACUCAUCGCCACUUUCAUACUUGGAGGCAUCUCCGUUUUCCGUGACUUCCUUGCUGAGUCCUUGCGAAAUCGAGGCAGUACUACAGCCGACACCAAUAAGGAAACUGUGCUACAGAGCAGAGACGAGAGGAGAGAAAAAAUAGACACCUAAAUUGGCCACAGAAAGUCUCAGUUCCGCAACAGGAGUUUUCACGUGCUAUCGUAUGUGUUCUUGCGACUAUCAUCUAACGAGACUCUAUAGUUAAAGGGAAGCAACAACGUUCUCUGUGGUUUUGAGGUUGGCGAACUUAUGUCCCCUACAUGAAUGGCCAACUCAACAUUAAUUUGUUUAGUGGAAUCUCUUUUUGUGUGUCUUCAUCCAUCCUUCUAAAGCACCAGACCAAAGCGAUAUACAUAAGAAGAUCGACCCAAAAGCAAAAAUAUCAGUGGAUUUGCAUUGCUUCCCUGCCUACGAUUUAUAAACUUAUUAUUGUUGUUUCAAAAAGGUAUUCCGAAAAUUACUUAUAAGCAGCACAAAUAAUUAGUACCUAUACGUGAUCUGCUUUAUGUCUAGAAAAAAGGUGUGGAAAGAAGCAUUUUCAGCCUUGUUUACAAACUCUUGUGUUACGUAGGGAGAAUGUUCGCGUUGCUACCAACUGGCGAAUCAAAAGUAAAAUUUCGACCGGUAUUUUAAAAAAAUUAUAUCUAUUAACAUACAACAAUGACAUUAUCGAUGAUACUCCAUUUUAAAGAGCAUUUUAAAAACAUUUACGUGGUGUAAAUUUUAAGAAAUAUAGUUUUUGUUUACUAGUAGUAAAAUCAAAUGAAAGAUUGUAAUUGUAACUGUAACAUUGUAAUUGUAAGAUUGUAAUUGUAACUGUAACAGAGAACUAAUCGAAAAGGAGGUUAACCUAUAGAAUUAACAAAAAAAUUAUUUACAUGAUUUAAACAAACAUAAAGUACUAAACACACACAUUUUAUUAGAAUAUACAUUAGUAUUUAAAUAUUACUGACUGUUUUCUUCUUAUUUUAUUUUGUUUGAGUACAAAACCAUUUUGAAUAACGAAAUACCUGAUUAGUUGAAGGUUUUUCAGCCUUUAAAGGGAAGUAAUCUAUCAUGGAACAACUCCUAAAGGUUCCAGUACUUGCCUCCCUUAGAUAUUCAUUCAUUUACGCACAGAGAGAUGUGUUCUGAUAUUUCUGUUGGGACAAAUCUGACUCGGGCCAGGCACCUGUGCGCGGGUUCGGACAAAUUUGACCUAUUCGUCGUGAAUCACUGCGCAAGGCUUCAACUAGGUCAUAUUACCUUGAAGCACAUGUAAAUCCACCAUUUUCAAAAAUUCAUAAAAAAUAACUAUAAGAGAUAGAUUAAAAAAAAAUGAUAAUAAGA